Picea glauca (white spruce) is the source of this 121-nucleotide non-coding RNA. The record is from Rfam. Lineage: Eukaryota; Viridiplantae; Streptophyta; Pinopsida; Pinales; Pinaceae.
ACAUGCCUACAUCAUAGAGUUAAUGCAUUGGAUCCCAUUAGAACUCCACAGUUAAGCAUGCUCAAGCUGGAGUAGUAUUGGGAUGGGUGACCGCUCAAGAAGUCCUAGUGUUUUACAUGCC